RNAcentral lists this ribosomal RNA (460 nucleotides) under uncultured bacterium. RNAcentral describes it as "partial 16S ribosomal RNA". It matches the Rfam family "Bacterial small subunit ribosomal RNA", at positions 338 to 795 of the family's 1533-position model. The record is from RNAcentral.
CCUACGGGAGGCUGCAGUGAGGAAUAUUGGUCAAUGGCCGGAAGGCUGAACCAGCCAUGCCGCGUGAAGGUCAGUGCCCUAUGGGCGUUAAACUUCUUUUGUGCGGGAGCAAUAAUGGUCACGUGUGGCCAGACGAGAGUACCGUACGAAUAAGCAUCGGCUAACUCCGUGCCAGCAGCCGCGGUAAUACAGGGGGUGCAAGCGUUAUACGGAUUUAUUGGGUUUAAAGGGUGCGUAGGCUGUGAGGUAAGGCAGCGGUGAAAUGCCCCCGCUCAACGGGGUGAAGUGCCAUUGAUACUGGCUUGCUGGAAUGCGGAUGCCGUGGGAGGAAUGUGUGGUGUAGCGGUGACAUGCAUAGAUAUCACACAGAACACCGAUUGCGAAGGCAUCUCACGAAUCCGCGAUUGACGCUGAUGCACGAAAGCGUGGGUAUCAAACAGGAUUAGAUACCCCUGUAGUC